AGUGAACGCUGGCGGUAGGCCUAACACAUGCAAGUCGAACGGCAGCACAGUAAGAGCUUGCUCUUACGGGUGGCGAGUGGCGGACGGGUGAGGAAUACAUCGGAAUCUACUUUUUCGUGGGGGAUAAUGUAGGGAAACUUACGCCAAUAUCGCAUACGACCUACGGGUGAAAGCAGGGGAUCUUCGGAACUUGCGCGAUUGAAUGAGCCGAGGUCGGAUUAGCUAGUUGGCGGGGUAAAGGCCCACCAAGGCGACGACCCGUAGCUGGUCUGAGAGGAUGAUCAGCCAAACUGGAACUGAGACACGGUCCAGACUCCUACGGGAGGCAGCAGUGGGGAAUAUUGGACAAUGGGCGCAAGCCUGAACCAGCCAUACCGCGUGGGUGAAGAAGGCCUUCGGGUUGUAAAGCCCUUUUGUUGGGAAAGAAAAGCAGCAGGUUAAGACCCCGCUGUUCUGACGGUACCCAAAGAAUAAGCACCGGCUAACUUCGUG
This 492-nucleotide ribosomal RNA is filed under the name uncultured bacterium. RNAcentral's name for it is "partial 16S ribosomal RNA". It matches the Rfam family "Bacterial small subunit ribosomal RNA", at positions 29 to 507 of the family's 1533-position model. The record is from RNAcentral.